This 2924-nucleotide ribosomal RNA is filed under the name Staphylococcus aureus. Its description in RNAcentral is "23S ribosomal RNA". It matches the Rfam family "Bacterial large subunit ribosomal RNA". The record is from RNAcentral. Lineage: Bacteria; Bacillati; Bacillota; Bacilli; Caryophanales; Staphylococcaceae.
GAUUAAGUUAUUAAGGGCGCACGGUGGAUGCCUUGGCACUAGAAGCCGAUGAAGGACGUUACUAACGACGAUAUGCUUUGGGGAGCUGUAAGUAAGCUUUGAUCCAGAGAUUUCCGAAUGGGGAAACCCAGCAUGAGUUAUGUCAUGUUAUCGAUAUGUGAAUACAUAGCAUAUCAGAAGGCACACCCGGAGAACUGAAACAUCUUAGUACCCGGAGGAAGAGAAAGAAAAUUCGAUUCCCUUAGUAGCGGCGAGCGAAACGGGAGGAGCCCAAACCAACAAGCUUGCUUGUUGGGGUUGUAGGAUACUCUAUACGGAGUUACAAAGGACGACAUUAGACGAAUCAUCUGGAAAGAUGAAUCAAAGAAGGUAAUAAUCCUGUAGUCGAAAAUGUUGUCUCUCUUGAGUGGAUCCUGAGUACGACGGAGCACGUGAAAUUCCGUCGGAAUCUGGGAGGACCAUCUCCUAAGGCUAAAUACUCUCUAGUGACCGAUAGUGAACCAGUACCGUGAGGGAAAGGUGAAAAGCACCCCGGAAGGGGAGUGAAAUAGAACCUGAAACCGUGUGCUUACAAGUAGUCAGAGCCCGUUAAUGGGUGAUGGCGUGCCUUUUGUAGAAUGAACCGGCGAGUUACGAUUUGAUGCAAGGUUAAGCAGUAAAUGUGGAGCCGUAGCGAAAGCGAGUCUGAAUAGGGCGUUUAGUAUUUGGUCGUAGACCCGAAACCAGGUGAUCUACCCUUGGUCAGGUUGAAGUUCAGGUAACACUGAAUGGAGGACCGAACCGACUUACGUUGAAAAGUGAGCGGAUGAACUGAGGGUAGCGGAGAAAUUCCAAUCGAACCUGGAGAUAGCUGGUUCUCUCCGAAAUAGCUUUAGGGCUAGCCUCAAGUGAUGAUUAUUGGAGGUAGAGCACUGUUUGGACGAGGGGCCCCUCUCGGGUUACCGAAUUCAGACAAACUCCGAAUGCCAAUUAAUUUAACUUGGGAGUCAGAACAUGGGUGAUAAGGUCCGUGUUCGAAAGGGAAACAGCCCAGACCACCAGCUAAGGUCCCAAAAUAUAUGUUAAGUGGAAAAGGAUGUGGCGUUGCCCAGACAACUAGGAUGUUGGCUUAGAAGCAGCCAUCAUUUAAAGAGUGCGUAAUAGCUCACUAGUCGAGUGACACUGCGCCGAAAAUGUACCGGGGCUAAACAUAUUACCGAAGCUGUGGAUUGUCCUUUGGACAAUGGUAGGAGAGCGUUCUAAGGGCGUUGAAGCAUGAUCGUAAGGACAUGUGGAGCGCUUAGAAGUGAGAAUGCCGGUGUGAGUAGCGAAAGACGGGUGAGAAUCCCGUCCACCGAUUGACUAAGGUUUCCAGAGGAAGGCUCGUCCGCUCUGGGUUAGUCGGGUCCUAAGCUGAGGCCGACAGGCGUAGGCGAUGGAUAACAGGUUGAUAUUCCUGUACCACCUAUAAUCGUUUUAAUCGAUGGGGGGGACGCAGUAGGAUAGGCGAAGCGUGCGAUUGGAUUGCACGUCUAAGCAGUAAGGCUGAGUAUUAGGCAAAUCCGGUACUCGUUAAGGCUGAGCUGUGAUGGGGAGAAGACAUUGUGUCUUCGAGUCGUUGAUUUCACACUGCCGAGAAAAGCCUCUAGAUAGAAAAUAGGUGCCCGUACCGCAAACCGACACAGGUAGUCAAGAUGAGAAUUCUAAGGUGAGCGAGCGAACUCUCGUUAAGGAACUCGGCAAAAUGACCCCGUAACUUCGGGAGAAGGGGUGCUCUUUAGGGUUAACGCCCAGAAGAGCCGCAGUGAAUAGGCCCAAGCGACUGUUUAUCAAAAACACAGGUCUCUGCUAAACCGUAAGGUGAUGUAUAGGGGCUGACGCCUGCCCGGUGCUGGAAGGUUAAGAGGAGUGGUUAGCUUCUGCGAAGCUACGAAUCGAAGCCCCAGUAAACGGCGGCCGUAACUAUAACGGUCCUAAGGUAGCGAAAUUCCUUGUCGGGUAAGUUCCGACCCGCACGAAAGGCGUAACGAUUUGGGCACUGUCUCAACGAGAGACUCGGUGAAAUCAUAGUACCUGUGAAGAUGCAGGUUACCCGCGACAGGACGGAAAGACCCCGUGGAGCUUUACUGUAGCCUGAUAUUGAAAUUCGGCACAGCUUGUACAGGAUAGGUAGGAGCCUUUGAAACGUGAGCGCUAGCUUACGUGGAGGCGCUGGUGGGAUACUACCCUAGCUGUGUUGGCUUUCUAACCCGCACCACUUAUCGUGGUGGGAGACAGUGUCAGGCGGGCAGUUUGACUGGGGCGGUCGCCUCCUAAAAGGUAACGGAGGCGCUCAAAGGUUCCCUCAGAAUGGUUGGAAAUCAUUCAUAGAGUGUAAAGGCAUAAGGGAGCUUGACUGCGAGACCUACAAGUCGAGCAGGGUCGAAAGACGGACUUAGUGAUCCGGUGGUUCCGCAUGGAAGGGCCAUCGCUCAACGGAUAAAAGCUACCCCGGGGAUAACAGGCUUAUCUCCCCCAAGAGUUCACAUCGACGGGGAGGUUUGGCACCUCGAUGUCGGCUCAUCGCAUCCUGGGGCUGUAGUCGGUCCCAAGGGUUGGGCUGUUCGCCCAUUAAAGCGGUACGCGAGCUGGGUUCAGAACGUCGUGAGACAGUUCGGUCCCUAUCCGUCGUGGGCGUAGGAAAUUUGAGAGGAGCUGUCCUUAGUACGAGAGGACCGGGAUGGACAUACCUCUGGUGUACCAGUUGUCGUGCCAACGGCAUAGCUGGGUAGCUAUGUGUGGACGGGAUAAGUGCUGAAAGCAUCUAAGCAUGAAGCCCCCCUCAAGAUGAGAUUUCCCAACUUCGGUUAUAAGAUCCCUCAAAGAUGAUGAGGUUAAUAGGUUCGAGGUGGAAGCAUGGUGACAUGUGGAGCUGACGAAUACUAAUCGAUCGAAGACUUAAUCAA